Brassica napus (rape) is the source of this 446-nucleotide long non-coding RNA. RefSeq lists it as uncharacterized. The record is from RefSeq and is a predicted model, not a curated record. NCBI's taxonomy places the organism in Eukaryota, Viridiplantae, Streptophyta, Magnoliopsida, Brassicales, Brassicaceae. The transcript has 4 exons.
GUGAUUGGCUUCUUGAAGCAUAGUGGGGCAUUAUGGCAAAGGAAUGAACAACUACUAAUGGGCCGUAUAUGGGCUCGAUAGAGUAAAUUAGAAUUUGGUUUGGGUCUUGUUUAUUAUAUAUAUAGCAUCGUCUUCUUCCUUGUUCUCUUCUCUUCUCUUCAGCGAUUACUCCACGUACGAUUCUGGGAAUUCAAAACCGAUAAGCUCACCGGGUUGAACAAGGAGCUAAAGUGGAGUUACCCUUCUGGCUUGCUCAUGAGUUGCAUUUGAGACAAGCUGUCUCCAUCAACCUUCCUGCCUGUUUCGACCACAAGACGAGGCUGGAAAUACAGGCUGAUGCAGCGUGUGUUGAUCUUAGAUCUCGAUGUCCUUACUUCUACGAGUUCGGUUGCAAGCUACAGCCAUUACCCACAUCCCAAGUUUAAUAAGGCGCACAUGAUGAUAGU